RNAcentral lists this ribosomal RNA (407 nucleotides) under Verrucomicrobiota bacterium. RNAcentral's name for it is "Verrucomicrobia bacterium partial 16S ribosomal RNA". It matches the Rfam family "Bacterial small subunit ribosomal RNA", at positions 355 to 776 of the family's 1533-position model. The record is from RNAcentral. Lineage: Bacteria; Pseudomonadati; Verrucomicrobiota.
UGGGGAAUAUUGGGCAAUGGGCGAAAGCCUGACCCAGCAACGCCGCGUGAAGUAUGAAGGCCUUCGGGUUGUAAACUUCUUUGAUCAGGGAAGAAACAAAUGACGGUACCUGAAAAACAAGCCACGGCUAACUACGUGCCAGCAGCCGCGGUAAUACGUAGGUGGCGAGCGUUAUCCGGAUUUACUGGGUGUAAAGGGCGUGCAGGCGGGCUGAUAAGUCAGAUGUGAAAUCCCCGAGCUUAACUCGGGAACUGCAUCUGAUACUGUUGGUCUUGAGUGCUGGAGAGGAUAGUGGAAUUCCUAGUGUAGCGGUAAAAUGCGCAGAUAUUAGGAGGAAAACCAGUGGCGAAGGCGGCUAUCUGGACAGUAACUGACGCUGAGGCGCGAAAGCGUGGGGAGCGAACAGG